Molecule: RNA transcript, 2949 nt
Organism: Daucus carota subsp. sativus
Lineage: Eukaryota; Viridiplantae; Streptophyta; Magnoliopsida; Apiales; Apiaceae
Gene name: pentatricopeptide repeat-containing protein At1g05600
Exons: 3
Source: RefSeq, a predicted model, not a curated record
UAAUAUAUAUAUUUUCUUUUUGUGAGGAACCUUAUACUAAAAUUUGUAAGUUUACAAAUUUGCAUGUGCAAGUUUAUAAGUCUGCAUGCCAAAUAAAGUCGGAGAUUCGGACUUCUCCUCAGAUUAACCGGAAAAGUGCUAAACCAGAUCACUCAACUACUAUCAACUGAGAUAUCUCCGUAGAAGAGAUUGAGUGGAAUUUGUAUCGAAGGCGUGUUAUAGCUUAUAAGGAUAAAUUAGGAUGAAUGUGAUAUGGCCGAGGCUUCUGACUCCAACUUAUCUUUCUCAAUUGAUACGGAAACAGAAAAGCCCAGUAAAAGCUCUUCAGAUCUUCAAUGAAGCAAAAUCGAAAUAUCCUAAUUAUCAUCACAAUGGUCCUGUCUAUGCCACCAUGAUCAGUAUUCUUGGAAGCUCAGGGAGGAUAACUGAUAUGAGGAAAGUUAUUGAUCAAAUGAAAGCAGACUCGUGUCAGUGCAAAGAUACUGUUUUUGCAACUGCAAUCAACACUUAUGCGCAAGCUGGUUUGCUUGAUGAAGCUAUUACCCUGUUUCGAAACCUUCCUAAGUUUAACUGUGUGAACUGGACAGAAUCUUUUAAUACACUUUUAGGGAUUUUGAUAAAUGAGUCUAAGCUAGAAACUGCUCAUCGCCUUUUCUUAGAGCAUUCAUAUGGCUGGGAAGUAAAGUCGCGAACUCGUUCCUUGACCUUGCUUAUCAAAGCUCUGUGUCAGAGUGGUCGCUCCGAUCUUGCAGUUCAUGUCUUUCUAGAGUUUAAUAGUCAAUGCUGCUAUCCUGGCAAGGAAACAUAUAGAAUUUUGAUGAGAGGAUUAUGUGAUGAUGGGAGACUAGAUGAUGCCACACAUCUGUUGUACUCGAUGUUCUGGCGGAUCUCUCAAAAAGGUAGUGGUGAGGAUGUUGUGAUAUAUAGAACUCUUUUGCAUGCUUUUGUAGAAAGAGGACAUAUCGAGGAAGCUGUUGAGCUUCUUGGUAAGAUCUUGAGGAAAGGACUUAAGGCCCCGAAAAGAUGCCUCAAGCAGCUUGAUCUUUCUAGUUUCCAUAAUUGUGAUGACAAAGGAGCCAAAUAUUUAAUAGAUGAUGCUCUAAUAAAAGGUGGAAUCUCUAGUUCAGAUAGUUAUAAUGUGAUGGCUGUUGAUCUUUACUCAGAGGGCAAUAUUGGUACAGCUAACAGGGUGAUUCAAGAGAUGCAUUAUAGAGGUUUUAGACCCACACUUUUGAUUUAUGAAGCAAAGAUAGCAGCAUUAUGUAGGCAUGGCACUGUUGAUGAAGCAAUAGAGGUUAUAGAAAAGGAGAUGGUAAAUGAUAAUUGCCUUCCAACUAUCAAGUUGUUCAACACUGUUAUGAAAGGGUUGUGCGAUGAAGGAAGAUCUGUCAUGGCUAUUGGGUAUUUAAAAAAGAUCUUUAGGCAGGUCGGUUGUGUACCCGACAAGGACACUUACUCCAUUUUAGUGGAUGGAUUGUGUGCAGAGGCAAAAUAUAUUGAAGCGGGCCAAAUUUUAGAGGAAAUGCUAAAGAACUCCUACUCCCCUGGUGAAAAUACUUAUAAUUCUCUUAUACAGGGUCUAUGCUCAAUGGGCAGGCCAUUUGAAGCGAUAAUGUGGUUGGAGGAGAUGGUUAGCCAGGCCAAAAUGCCGAAUGUUUCAGUGUGGAAGUCACUGGUAGCUUCUGUAUGUGCUGAAAAGUUCAGCACCACAACUGUUUCUGCUGUGCUAGAGCCAAUAUCUAAAACAAUUAACUGAUAGUCCAUCUGGAUCCUUUGUUAUUUCAGAUUUGAAUCCACUUGACAAAUAGAGGAAUCCAGACCUCAACUCUGUUUUUAUCAAAGCUUCUUGGGACCAAGCUCUCAACUACUCCGCCAACUUUGUUUGAUACAAUGUCAUGCAAUGUGAAGGUUGUGAGUUGUGACUUGUUGGUCGAAAAAUCCAAUACGGGUGCAGGAGAAUCAAACACCAACGAAAUUUGCAGUACUUGAAAAUUGCUUUUCAAUAAUAUACUAAAUACUAAUGAAAUACAACAAUUAGGUUGUUACACCCACUACAUUGUCAAAUGUAUAUAUAUGCGUAGGAGUUCUGUCAGCCAAUGAUGUCCUGUUAGAUUUCAUCUCAAGACAUCAUUAAUCCCAUCUGUUUGGCGACUCAAAGCAACACAAAUUGAUGCAGCUUGUUGAGCAUUAGUAAGGACUUGAUUGAAGGAGAACACUGGAAUUAUGCAGGCACGAUUAGUAUUUUAAAGGGCAAAUUGAUUUAUAGGUCCUUGAACUAUUGACGUUUUAUUGUCUAGGUAUCUGAACUAAAGAUUUCGUAUUUUAGGUCACUUAACUUAUCUAUUUUCUGAUCUAAGUCCUUCCGUCAAAAAGAUUCUAACGGUGUUAACUAGGGUUCUUGAGUUUCAUACAGAUCAAAGCAAUUUUGAAAGUGUUAGUGAUAUCCAAACUCAAAGUUCAAGUAGUCAAAUUGAAGCUUGAAUCACUAGCGACACUCAUAUGACAACAAUUUUCACAAAUUAGAUUUAAUUUUAAAAAACCCCAAAUUGGACCAUAAAUUUAGGGUUUUUUAUCGAAUUUAGUGACCUAAAUUUAUAAAAUUUUAAAUUGAACAUAAUUUUUCAAAAUUGGUGUCAUAUGAGUGUCGCCAGCGACUCAAACUUCAAUUUGACUACUUAGAACUUUGAAUUUAGAUAUCACUAACACCUUCAAAAUUGCUUUGAUCUGUAUGAAACUCAAGAACGCUGGUUAACACCGUUAGAAUCUUUUUGACGGAAGGACUUAGAUUAGAAAACAGAAAAGUUAAGUGACCUGAAAUACGGAAUCUUUACUUCAGGGACAAAACGUCAAUAGUUAAGGGACCUGCAGUUUAAUUUUCCCGUAUUUUAAAUGUUGUGGUUUGUUAACCAUUUUGUUCAUGGGUUGCUAAUGACGAAUCCUUUUCUUUCC